RNAcentral lists this ribosomal RNA (253 nucleotides) under uncultured bacterium. RNAcentral's name for it is "partial 16S ribosomal RNA". It matches the Rfam family "Bacterial small subunit ribosomal RNA", at positions 524 to 776 of the family's 1533-position model. The record is from RNAcentral.
AACGUAGGUGGCAAGCGUUAUCCGGAUUUACUGGGCGUAAAGCGUGUGCAGGCGGGGGUACAAGUGGUGUAUGAAAUUUCCCAGCUUAACUGGGAAGGGUUAUGCCAGACUGUACUUCUGGAGUGCGAGAGAGGGGCGUGGAAUUCCGGGUGUAGUGGUGAAAUGCGUAGAGAUCCGGAGGAACCCCAGAGGCGAAGGCGGCGCCCUGGCUCGUACCUGACGCUCGGACACGACAGCAUGGGGAGCGAACGGG